AUUGAACGCUGGCGGCAGGCUUAACACAUGCAAGUCGAACGAGUGGCGGACGGGUGAGUAAUGCUUGGGAAUCUAGCUUAUGGAGGGGGAUAACUACGGGAAACUGUAGCUAAUACCGCGUACCAUAGGAUGAGCCCAAGUGGGAUUGGGUAGUUGGUGAGGUAAAGGCUCACCAAGCCGACGAUCUCUAGCUGGUCUGAGAGGAUGACCAGCCACCCUGGGACGGAGACACGGCCCAGACUCCGACGGGAGGCAGCAGUGGGGAAUAUUGCGCAAGGGGGGAAACCUGACGCAGCCAGGCCGCGUGAAUGAAGAGGGCCUUCGGGUUGUAAAGUUCUUUCGGUAGCGAGGCGUUAACUACAGAAGAAGCACCGGCUAACUCCGUGCCAGCAGCCGCGGUAAUAC
Molecule: ribosomal RNA, 405 nt
Filed under: uncultured bacterium
Lineage: Bacteria
Description: partial 16S ribosomal RNA
Rfam family: Bacterial small subunit ribosomal RNA
Source: RNAcentral